Molecule: ribosomal RNA, 430 nt
Filed under: bacterium
Lineage: Bacteria
Description: partial 16S ribosomal RNA
Rfam family: Bacterial small subunit ribosomal RNA
Source: RNAcentral
UGGGGAAUAUUGGACAAUGGGGGCAACCCUGAUCCAGCCAUGCCGCGUGUGUGAAGAAGGCCUUUUGGUUGUAAAGCACUUUAAGCAGGGAGGAGAGGCUAAUGGUUAACACCCAUUAGAUUAGACGUUACCUGCAGAAUAAGCACCGGCUAACUCUGUGCCAGCAGCCGCGGUAAUACAGAGGGUGCGAGCGUUAAUCGGAAUUACUGGGCGUAAAGCGAGUGUAGGUGGCUCAUUAAGUCACAUGUGAAAUCCCCGGGCUUAACCUGGUAACUGCAUGUGAUACUGGUGGUGCUAGAAUAUGUGAGAGGGAAGUAGAAUUCCAGGUGUAGCGGUGAAAUGCGUAGAGAUCUGGAGGAAUACCGAUGGCGAAGGCAGCUUCCUGGCAUAAUAUUGACACUGAGAUUCGAAAGCGUGGGUAGCAAACAGG